GAUGAACGCUGGCGGCGUGCCUAAUACAUGCAAGUCGAGCGAAUGGAUUAAGAGCUUGCUCUUAUGAAGUUAGCGGCGGACGGGUGAGUAACACGUGGGUAACCUGCCCAUAAGACUGGGAUAACCCCGGGAAACCGGGGCUAAUACCGGAUAACAUUUUGAACCGCAUGGUUCGAAAUUGAAAGGCGGCUUCGGCUGUCACUUAUGGAUGGACACGCGUCGCAUUAGCUAGUUGGUGAGGUAACGGCUCACCAAGGCAACGAUGCGUAGCCGACCUGAGAGGGUGAUCGGCCACACUGGGACUGAGACACGGCCCAGACUCCUACGGGAGGCAGCAGUAGGGAAUCUUCCGCAAUGGACGAAAGCCUGACGGAGCAACGCCGCGUGAGUGAUGAAGGCUUUCGGGUCGUAAAACUCUGUUGUUAGGGAAGAACAAGUGCUAGUUGAAUAAGCUGGCACCUUGACGGUACCUAACCAGAAAGCCACGGCUAACUACGUGCCAGCAGCCGCCGUAA
This 515-nucleotide ribosomal RNA is filed under the name uncultured bacterium. Its description in RNAcentral is "partial 16S ribosomal RNA". It matches the Rfam family "Bacterial small subunit ribosomal RNA", at positions 28 to 523 of the family's 1533-position model. The record is from RNAcentral.